UCCCAAGUGGCUGAGUGGUAAAGAAUCUGCCUGCAAUGCAGGAGGCACAGGUUCUAUCCCUGGGUCAGGAA
This 71-nucleotide transfer RNA is filed under the name Bos taurus (domestic cattle). It matches the Rfam family "tRNA". From Rfam's summary of the family: Transfer RNA (tRNA) molecules are approximately 80 nucleotides in length. Their secondary structure includes four short double-helical elements and three loops (D, anti-codon, and T loops). The record is from Rfam by way of RNAcentral. RNAcentral also lists the same sequence under 4 other names. Lineage: Eukaryota; Metazoa; Chordata; Mammalia; Artiodactyla; Bovidae.